Trichonephila inaurata madagascariensis is the source of this 73-nucleotide non-coding RNA. The record is from the annotation of a GenBank genome assembly. Lineage: Eukaryota; Metazoa; Arthropoda; Arachnida; Araneae; Nephilidae.
GUCCCUGUAGCGCAAUUAAUAGCGAGUUGGAUUUCUAAUCCAAAGGUCGAGCAUUCGAAUAUCACCUGGGAUG